Molecule: non-coding RNA, 110 nt
Organism: Acanthosepion pharaonis
Lineage: Eukaryota; Metazoa; Mollusca; Cephalopoda; Sepiida; Sepiidae
Source: the annotation of a GenBank genome assembly
ACUAUACAACAUUGAAAUACCAGUUCUCAUAUGAUCACUGAAGUUAAGCAACAUCAAACCUGGUCAAGUAUCUAGAUGGGUGACUGCUUGGGAAUUCCAUGUGCUACAGG